GACGAACGCUGGCGGCGUGCUUAACACAUGCAAGUCGAACGGAAAGGCCCGGCACUUGUGGGGUGCGCGAGUGGCGAAAGGGGGAGUAACACGUGAGUAGCCUGCCCUUGACUUUGGGAUAACUCCAGGAAACUGGGGCUAUUACCGCACAGGAGCACCUGCUGCAUGGGGGGGGAUGGUAAGAGUCGGCGGUUGGGGAUGCACACACGGCUUCUCAGCUUGUUGGUGGGGUAGUGUCUUACCAAGGCUUUGACGGGUGGCCGGCCUGAGAGGGUGACCGGCCACAUUGGGACUGAGGUACGGCCCAGACUCCUACGGGAGGCAGCAGUGGGGAAUAUUGCACAAUGGGCGGAAGCCUGAUGCAGCAACGCCGCGUGCGGGAUGACGGCCUUCGGGUUGUAAACCGCUUUCGCCUGUGACGAAGCGUGAGUGACGGUAAUGGGUAAAGAAGCACCGGCUAACUACGUG
Molecule: ribosomal RNA, 468 nt
Filed under: uncultured bacterium
Lineage: Bacteria
Description: partial 16S ribosomal RNA
Rfam family: Bacterial small subunit ribosomal RNA
Source: RNAcentral